This is a long non-coding RNA of Arachis duranensis, 1105 nucleotides long. RefSeq lists it as uncharacterized. The transcript is spliced from 3 exons. Lineage: Eukaryota; Viridiplantae; Streptophyta; Magnoliopsida; Fabales; Fabaceae. The record is from RefSeq and is a predicted model, not a curated record.
UUCUCCACUUCAACGCCACUGCAAUUUGCUGGAAAAUGUUCCCAUUGUUGUUAUCUUCCCUUAUUGCAACGAACAUAUUUCAAGCUCCUUUUUCCAUUUAAUUAAUGAUUUGGAUCAAACAUAGGUGCAAUCAAAUUAAGUCUACAUAGGUCUCUCUGUUGGCGUCUCUUCCGCAUGAAGGUCCGCCACAAAGGAAGGAGGAAAAGCAUAUAAGGCCGCAACCAUGCUUCACCGGCGAUCUUCUUACUGUCCAUUCUAUCAACCUCUGAUCUCCUUCGAAAUUCUGAAUUUCAUUUGGGCAUUACGUUGGGCCUGUAAAAUCUUCCUUUUGACACUAGCAGCUUCCCUUUCAUCUCUUUUGAUGAUUCUUGCUAACUCCUUUGGAGAUCUCACACACCAUGAUCGCCCCAAAGCUCUCAAAGAAGUCAUUUCUGCCACUUUAUGUGCCAGUUCAUUACCCUCUCUUUGGGUUCAGAUUUUUAUAAAGAAUCAUGGCGUCCCUCAUGGCAUGAGCUUCAGCAGCUAAUGGAAAUAUUGUUUUGAAGUUUAUUGUAGAUCCAGAUAGAACCUUGCCAUCACAGUUUCUUAUCACUGCUGCCGAUGCUGCUUGACCAAUUUCUUUAUCAAACGCUGCAUCAAUGCUAAUCUUCAUCCAACCAUCUAGCGGUGGCCUCCAGGUUCCUUGCUUAUGGCAUGCAAUGUUUGAUGUACGAUUGUGUUAUGGUAAAAAUUUGACGAUUGCUGUUGGUGAUAUUUAAUGGUGUAAAUGUGAGUGUCAUGUUAAUAACUCCCUUAUGGAAAAGAACCUACUAUUCUGAGAAAUCACUCCUGGCUAGAGAACAAUACACGUAGCAUUGAUCAUGGAAUUGUUUAAGUCAUAUAACUCCAACAAUGACCAUAUAUUGGGCCUUCAAAGUUUUUUUGUCAUGGGCCUUCAAAGUAAUGGUUUGAAUAUAUGUUGUGUUUAAACACCUGGCUCAAGUCCAUCUUCUCUUUGGGCCUUUGCUCAUAUUCUGAACCCCAAAAUUUUAAUCCACUGUUAACCCAAAAAUAAAAGAAGUUACAAUCUAUUUUCAUUCCCAUUGGUUGUUCUUGAGUUCUUCAU